ACCUCAGGACCCCUCAGGAUCUAGCACUGCAUGGACACAUGGGUUUGGUGGAUUUGAGGGGGGCGCUAUAGAGCCAGUUGCGAAGAGAACAGUCCUGCCAACAGACUGGGUGGAAUGAGAUUCAGAGAGAGCCCGCCAUAGACAAGCCACUGUUUCAUUCUGAAACUAAACAGGAACAUGAAGAGCUGAGGUUGAAGUCAAAAAGAGUCCAGCUUGAAGACACGCUCCCACACAGACCCACUCACCAAGGACAACAGUGAUUACAGUUCUGUCUUUACAGUCAACACUGUAACAUCAUUCAUAAAUACAGCCCCAGAUGCUUCACAUGUUCAACCAGUGGUAAUAAGGACUGCAAAACCGAUUAGGACAACACCACAGUAAAAUCCAGCACACCUUAUCUGUCAGACAUAAACUUAUUUCUGAAAUGUGACAGUCUUGGCUAAAGCAAAGGAUAUCCUCUGUGGCCUGUCAUGUUCGGAAGUGAAGGACAUCUCAACUCUGGAAGAGAAGUAGCAGGUGGAACAUCCAGAGAAUUCUACCCCUAGGACCAUAAGAAUUGUGGCAGUGCCAAAGAAGGAGUUGGUACAUCGUAAUCACUGACAGACUGACAAGUACAGCUUCUAUUAAGGAGGCCAGUCCCCAGGCAGCGGUUAACACACAGAAUUGUAAGCUUGUGGAUGGUCACGAAGAGGUCCAGAAUCAGAGCAUUUGUACAUUUUUGGUGACAAAGUUUUGAUGCUGCAAUCAAACGUACUGGAACAAAACAAACCCCUACUUUCUGAAUGACUGAAAAUCCCUAUAAAAUGUUGUUUGUGUCCAACAUGUGACUAUACAUUUACCUGUGACUGCUUACUUAAAAUAUGUAACAAUUAUCUAUUUCCUCUGGUGCAUUUUAAAUAUAUACAUUACAGAAUGUUUGACUACUGUCAAACACUGCAGAAGACUACUUCUUGCAGAUUGUGUCAUGCAGUGUUAUAUGGCACUGUUUUGCUUUUGAGGAUUUUAGUAUCAACAGGCUAUGUGAAUUGCAAUGAAAAUCUUGUCCUAACAUUUUGUGAAUGGUUUCUGUUUGAAACAGACAUAGAACAUGCAUGAAUAAGUAGCCCUUUGAAUACUUAAUGAUGCUUUCAAUUUUUAUGUCCAAUGUAAAUAAUAUCAUAUGGCUAGCUAUGAUCUAUGGGGGUCUGCUUUACAGAAGGAACUGAUACUGUAGCCUCCAUUUUGAGUUGAUGUUAUAUUUUGUUCUUAGGCUUAAAUGACUUAAGUACUUGUUUUUCUUCAAAGACUGUAUGAAGUUUACCCUGUCUUUAAAGGUUUACUGUGUAAAAGAAAAAACAAAGCCAUGUUGUAGGAGUCAACACUAUGCCUACUUUAAGUUAUUGAACACUUUGUACUCCAAAGUUGAAAAAAAAAAGAUAUAUUUUUUUCUCUAUAUAUUUUUGAUAAAUUGUUAAGUCACAUCUGGGAAAUGAACAUGGAUACUGUUCAUCUACAGUGUGAGUAUGGUGGAUAUGUAAAGAAAUUGCAUUAAAAGCCAAUGUAAUGUUUUGCCACAGAAUAUUUUAACUUUGGAUUGUAAAUGUAUUUAUAUUAGGUUAUUCAAAAUGCCAUCACAGCAUCAUUCAACAUCAUCUAUGAUGGUUUCUGGUUUUGAAAAAACCUAUGUAUGGACAAGUGACUGUCACUAAUGAAAUGCUGGUAUUCAAAAAGUACUGUCAUGUUGUUCUCACUUUCACACAACCACUGUUGUUCACCAAGAAAGUGUGUAGGUGUGAAAGCCUUAAAUCUUCUUGCUGCCAAAGUUUUGUCAUUGGUGUGAGGGAUUCGGGCAAGUAUUUAAGUUGCCAUUGGUCACUAAACCCCAUUGUUUUGGGCAGUGUUCUCGUUCAUUUCACGUGAUUUCGUUGUAUUGCAUUUGAGGCCUUAAUUAUUGUAUUGAUAUUAUUAUUGUAAUUAUUGGCACUUAUUGCUUGUGUUUUUACAUUUUAUUUAUGUGUUAUUAAUGUGUUUGUUUAUCAUAUGAUAGUCUGCAAUAAUACUAAUUGGAGUUGGAUACUCUGAAAAGCCUUAGAGUAAAUAUUAUAUUUUUCUCUUCAGCAAGAGGACAGCUUAUAUAUUGAAAAUAAUUACGUUACCUGUUAACAGAUGAAUAUAUAUAUAUAUUUUUGUUUAUUUAUGAGGUGUAUAUUUGUGGAAAGAGACAGUAUUUGCAUCGUGUUUUAAUGUAUCAUACUAUAUACUGUUAAACAUGCUGUUUUCCUGUUAAAAUAGCAUUUUGUCACUACUAAUCAGUGGCUCAGGAAGAUCUCAUUUAUAUUGAGUAUUACUGAGACUUAUGUCAACAAAAUUGUAACUAUGUAUUUUUCAUGGUGAAGGGGAAUAACAGCCUAAUCACUAUCUAAAACUGGGCAGGUGGGUAGGAAAAAAGGUUGUACAAAGGUGGACAAUUUCAGCGAGAUUUAUUGAGCAGCAAACUGACAGUGUAUGGGUUGUGUCUAACCAAUGGGUAAAUUGGUGAGUCAGAAUAUUUGUUAAUUUAUUGGGUUGAUAUUUUAAUCAUAUCGAAAUUUGAAUUCUGUUCUCAUACCAUUAGUUUGAAUUGUACUCAUUUGUCAGUCUAGUCAAGUGCACAUUAUACUAAUGCCCUGCUGGUACUGUAUCCAGUCAUGAAUACUUUUUUUAAAUUGAAAUACAACCUGAAUUAAAGCAGGUGAUGUGUUGAUUUAAAUUGGAUUUCCGUAACCAUUGUGUGAAGCACCUGUUGAAAAAAGUAAAUAUUUUGUUUGGGGGUUGAAAAUGGUUAGGUCUACUGAUUUUCCCUACAUUACUUUGUGCUUUUUCCAAGACACUGUGUGACCCAUAAGGCUGACCAGGUUACAGCGUUGGUUAACCAAUGUUGUGAAGCGGAAACCUCCAGAAUGUUCAGUGAGGACACUCCAUGUGACAUUGAACACUUUGUCAAUGAAAUGUGCUUUACCAAUAUUGUGGUCCAAAUUGUUAUGUUACUGUCAUUGUAGAUGACUUACAUUUCAGCAAAUAUGGGUGUACCAAAAUUGUUGUAAUUCUUCCCUUGUUCUUAUUUUGCUGAUAUAUCUGCCUAUGUUUUACCUUUGGGUUUUCGUCAUCGUGUGCUGGUGUGAAUGUAUAGAAUAAAAGUCUACCUUCCAUCUGCUUAUAUACUUGUAUUUUGUGUGACAAUAUUGUUUUGUUGUACCCCUGUCGCUCUUAUUAAUUUCAGCAUAUAGCAAGAACUACAUUUGUGAAUAAUUGUAUUUGUAUUUGCAGUCCUUCACAAAAUCAUGUCAGACAAAAACAUAAAGCAUAUGUGUAACAACAAAUCCAUCAUUUUAGGGGGAAUUUUCAUGUCUUCUAUGUAGUUUUAUUUUACAGGAAAAGUCUACUGUACACAAUCAUAUACAAAAAAAAAGAAUAUCAGAAAGAUAAUAAACUUCAAGUUUAAAUGUCUACUAUGCCCAUUGUUAACGGACAAAAAUGCUGACUCAGUGUGUCUCACACUAGGAAAAGUCUACUGUACACAAUCAUAUACAAAAAAAAAGAAAAAAGAAUAUCAGAAAGAUAAUAAACUUCAAGUUCAAAUGUCUACUAUGCCCAUUGGUAACAGACAAAAAUGCUGACUCAGUGUGUCUCACAAAAACGACCUGGAUAGCAAGAAAGGUUAGGUUAGAGAGAUACGUACAUACUGCAGACUCUAUUCCUGUAGCUGGAAGUGUGGUUCAUGAAGGACGUAUUGACUGAAGAAUUACCAAUCCUCUGCCUGAGGUCCUGUUUCAUAUCCAAUUGUCUUCACUACUUUAAAAACAGACAUAGUAAAACUCAGUCUAGGCAGUUUAACAGUUCCAACAAAAAGUAUCCAAUAACAGAAUCAGAAUUGUUUUUAUUGCCAAGUAAGUUUACACCUACCAGGAAAGUGUUUUGGCAUAUUGGUGCUUACAAUAAACAUAAUACGUACUACACAUAAGAAAAACAAUAUAUAAAAUUAAAUAUAUAAAAAAGUAAAAAAUAUUAAGAGAUAAUAAAAUAUUAAAAGAUAUUUACAAAAUAUAAGUGGAGGGGC
Long non-coding RNA from Clupea harengus (Atlantic herring), 4075 nucleotides. The record is from Ensembl. Lineage: Eukaryota; Metazoa; Chordata; Actinopteri; Clupeiformes; Clupeidae.